UGUCAAGAAGCCUGACCGCUACCGACCUGGAAUCGUCGCUCUUCGUGAAAAAACAUACUAAAGCAACAACAUUAUGGUGGUGGGAAUAAGCGUUCUCAGUUUGAUCGAAUCAGGUUGAAUUGAAUAAUCCUUGAAGUGACAAGAAGGAGCUGAUUGAGCAAGUUUGCCUCAAGCCGGUGAAGGAAUCAGGGUAACAGAGCCCAGACUAUAAGAGAUGACGGAAAUUGACCCGAGUUCAUACUGAAACAAUAUGAUUAUUUUGGUUAUGAUACAACUGAAGUGGAGAAGGAUAGCUCAGUGGCUUCCUAAGGUGCAAUGCUACUUCAGAAUGCUUUAGUUCAGAAGCCGGCAGAAUCAAAUGACAAUCUUGGGCCAAGAAAGAAAUCAUUAUCUGAUAUUGGGAACCUACUGGUGAAUGCAGACGCUGCAAAACCUGCCUUAAAGAACUGUAGAUGCUGAAGACAAAAAAGAAGCAAAGGAUACAUUGCAAGCAUAAGAGUUGGCUUCAUUUCAUUCCAGUGACUCUUUAAAUAGGUCCAAGAACUCACUAAAUAGAAGGUGGUAGUGAAAUUGGAUUUACAUAACAACAGAGAAAAUAAAAAGGCCUUGAAAGCAGUCUCCAGCCUUACAGGUAUCAAUUUUUUCUUUUAAGCAUGUUGGUUUAAUUUGGCUCCGUGAAAAACUUAGAAUAUAAUAAAAAUGUAAAAACAAUUCUGAAUUAUUUUUCAUUCAUCAGGACCCACUAAGUUCUUUGUAUUGGUUGAUAAGUUAAUGAAAAUUUGUCAAGUUUUAUGUUUUUAUGUAUGCUUAUUGUGUAUAA
Molecule: long non-coding RNA, 820 nt
Organism: Pyrus x bretschneideri (Chinese white pear)
Lineage: Eukaryota; Viridiplantae; Streptophyta; Magnoliopsida; Rosales; Rosaceae
Exons: 9
Source: RefSeq, a predicted model, not a curated record